RNAcentral lists this ribosomal RNA (413 nucleotides) under Boana diabolica. RNAcentral describes it as "partial 16S ribosomal RNA". It matches the Rfam family "Bacterial large subunit ribosomal RNA", at positions 1833 to 2418 of the family's 2925-position model. Lineage: Eukaryota; Metazoa; Chordata; Amphibia; Anura; Hylidae. The record is from RNAcentral.
CUUGAACUAGAUAAGAGGUCCAGCCUGCCCAGUGWAAAUAUUCAACGGCCGCGGUAUCCUAACCGUGCGAAGGUAGCGUAAUCACUUGUUCUUUAAAUGAGGACUAGUAUGAAUGGCACCACGAGGGUUUUACUGUCUUCUUUUUUUAAUCAGUGAAACUAAUCUCCCCGUGAAGAAGCGGGAAUUUAAUUAUAAGACGAGAAGACCCUAUGGAGCUUUAAACAAACAACAUUUGCUGCACAUAACACUUUUACUUUUAAAAAGUAUAGCAUUAUGAUUUUUAGUUUUUGAUUGGGGUGAUCACGGAGCAAAAUGAAACCUCCACGCCGAAAGGGUUGUACCCUGAGCAAAAAGCUACAGCUUUAAGCACUAAGAAAUUAACGCAAUUUGACCCAAUAUUUUGAUCAACGAAC